UUGAUAUGAUGAGUUCAAUGCUACAGAAAUUUCAUGUUGAAUAUCUUUUGAGCUUUUUAACUCUGAUCAUU
Small nucleolar RNA from Stegodyphus dumicola, 71 nucleotides. The record is from RefSeq and is a predicted model, not a curated record. NCBI's taxonomy places the organism in Eukaryota, Metazoa, Arthropoda, Arachnida, Araneae, Eresidae.